AUGGCUUCCGGCGGCACAUGGAAGUCCGAGCGUGCGCCGGUGGACAUAUGGGGCGCCUCCCGCAUCGCCGGCACCCGCCAGAACCUGUCCUUCAUCAUCAAGGGACCCGAGGGAGAGGACCUGCGCUCCGGCUACAUCGCCCAGGAGUUUGCGCUCGCCGGCCACGCUGGUCGCCUCGCCGGCGGCGACCAGCUCGUGCUGACCAAGGUGUACUUCACCCGGCGGGGAGAAGAGGCCGUCUCCAAGGCCAAGGAGCGCGUGAUGGCCAAGGCAAAGCGCAAGAAGACGGCCGCCGCCGCCUCCUCCUCCUCCCGGGCGCCUCUUCCGCCCGCAGCCGUCUCCUCCCCUGCUCCCGGCAAGACGCCGGCUCCCGUCGCCGCCUACUCCCCUGCUCCCGGCAAGACGCCGGCUCCCGCUGCCGCCACCUCGCCGGCUCCCCCCAAGAAGGCGGAUGCCCCUUCGUCCUCAUCGCCGGCGCUCAUCGACCAGGCAGUCUCCGACUCGUCCGCGGGAGGAUCCACCUCAUCCACAAGGUUGCUGCUGCUGGAGGUGGGUGACUCCCCAGUAAGCCAAGCCCAGGACUUCUCGAUCCGGCACAUCCUCAGGGCGGCGGAGCUGGUAGGCUCCUCGCUGCCCUUGAACAAAAGGAAGCCUGUCCCAUUUAGUUGUGAUGGCUUGUUCUUGCUCCAGGAAGGGCCCAGGAAGAAGUUUCCAUCAUCUCCAUAG
This 726-nucleotide ribosomal RNA is filed under the name Triticum aestivum (bread wheat). RNAcentral's name for it is "partial small subunit ribosomal RNA". Lineage: Eukaryota; Viridiplantae; Streptophyta; Magnoliopsida; Poales; Poaceae. The record is from RNAcentral.